This 120-nucleotide ribosomal RNA is filed under the name Pteropus alecto (black flying fox). Lineage: Eukaryota; Metazoa; Chordata; Mammalia; Chiroptera; Pteropodidae. The record is from RNAcentral.
GUCCAGGGUCAUGCCCACCCUGAACGAGCCCGAUCCCGUCUGACCUCGGAAGCUAAGCAGGGUCGGGCCUGGUUAGUACUUGGAUGGGAGACCACCUAGGAAGACCAGGUGCUGUAGGCA